RNAcentral lists this small RNA (127 nucleotides) under Marmota monax (woodchuck). The record is from RNAcentral. Lineage: Eukaryota; Metazoa; Chordata; Mammalia; Rodentia; Sciuridae.
GCCGGGUGUGCUGGCCCACGCCUGUAAUCCCAGCAGCUUGGGAAGCUGAGGCAGGAGAAUCACAAGUUCAAAGCCAGCCUCAAGAACUCAGUGAGGCACUAAACAACUCAGUGAGACCCUGUCUCUA